GGCCGGGAACUCAAAGGAGACUGCCAGUGAUAAACUGGAGGAAGGUGGGGAUGACGUCAAGUCAUCAUGGCCCUUACGAGUAGGGCUACACACGUGCUACAAUGGCGCAUACAAAGAGAAGCGACCUCGCGAGAGCAAGCGGACCUCAUAAAGUGCGUCGUAGUCCGGAUUGGAGUCUGCAACUCGACUCCAUGAAGUCGGAAUCGCUAGUAAUCGUGGAUCAGAAUGCCACGGUGAAUACGUUCCCGGGCCUUGUACACACCGCCCGUCACACCAUGGGAGUGGGUUGCAAAAGAAGUAGGUAGCUUAACCUUCGGGAGGGCGCUUACCACUUUGUGAUUCAUGACUGGGGUGAAGUCGUAACAAGGUAACCGUAGGGGAACCUGCGGUUGGAUCACCUCCUUA
RNAcentral lists this ribosomal RNA (405 nucleotides) under Citrobacter freundii. RNAcentral's name for it is "partial 16S ribosomal RNA". It matches the Rfam family "Bacterial small subunit ribosomal RNA", at positions 1129 to 1533 of the family's 1533-position model. The record is from RNAcentral. RNAcentral also lists the same sequence under 31 other names. Lineage: Bacteria; Pseudomonadati; Pseudomonadota; Gammaproteobacteria; Enterobacterales; Enterobacteriaceae.